Long non-coding RNA from Haplochromis burtoni (Burton's mouthbrooder), 627 nucleotides. RefSeq lists it as uncharacterized. The record is from RefSeq and is a predicted model, not a curated record. The transcript has 6 exons. NCBI's taxonomy places the organism in Eukaryota, Metazoa, Chordata, Actinopteri, Cichliformes, Cichlidae.
AUCUCGUGGUGGUCAUGGAGAGUCUCCAUCCAGCUGGAUCACUGUCACAGGGAAACCUACAAACACAUCUCCAUCUACUCCCACACCUGUAUCUACAUCCACUUCUAUCCCUACAUCAGCCCCUGCCCCGCAUCUUGCUGUUCCUGUGUUAAUCUCUGUUGGAUCAGUCUGUGUUUUGGUGCUACUGGUGUUACUGGUUCUGCUGGUGAGACAAUGCAAUCACAGAAAACCUGAAGCAGAUCAAGACAAAGCUGCAGGAGAAGAUGUCACAUACAGUGACGUCAAGAUAUCACAUGGUCGACAGCAGCCUGUGAAACACAGCAGAGAGAGAGAUUCUGCUACAGUCUACUCAGAAACGAGAAUUGAAGACGUCAGUUAUGGAGAAAUCGUCAUCAAAGACAAGAAGAAAAAGUCAAAGACAAAAGAGAGCGACAGCAUGGCGGUCUACUCCUCAGUGAAAACUAAAGACCUCAGUUAUGAACAAGUAGCCAUCAGCCCAAAGAGAACCAGAGACUUUAAACCAGAGCCAGAGGUCGUCUACUCUUCACUGAAGUAGUCCACCAGUCCAACCACUGACGUCCAGCUGCUGGUCUCUAACUGGUUCCCCCAGCACCUCAGACCAGAGGA